AUGCUUCUCUUGUCGGUCUGGAGUUGGAAACGCUUGCCAGUUGGGCGGCCAACGCCUGCGGGUCUUGGUUAUGAGCCAUGGGAUGAUCAUGAUGACCCGGACCGUAUGCCUACAUGGGCAUAUAAGUGGGACAAGGUUGAAGGUUUUGUUGGCAAUUCAAAGACCAUGUAUUUGCACUAUUGCAACGAGCUCGACAUCAUGACCCCAGAGCAGGUUAGUUUGUUGACUGUGUUGCCCCUUCGGUUUUCCAAAAAUCAUAGUAAGCAUCUAUUUUAUUAUUUGACGCUACAGGUGACCUAG
This 300-nucleotide ribosomal RNA is filed under the name Triticum aestivum (bread wheat). Its description in RNAcentral is "partial small subunit ribosomal RNA". The record is from RNAcentral. Lineage: Eukaryota; Viridiplantae; Streptophyta; Magnoliopsida; Poales; Poaceae.